Molecule: long non-coding RNA, 253 nt
Filed under: Nicotiana benthamiana
Lineage: Eukaryota; Viridiplantae; Streptophyta; Magnoliopsida; Solanales; Solanaceae
Description: long non-coding RNA (NBEN_LNC001304)
Source: RNAcentral
AGAGUAUCUUACUGGAUUUGAAAUGCAACUUUGCAGGUUGUAACUACCGAUGCCUCGGUAACAAGUGAUGUUUGGAGAAAGAUGGUACAAGUUGCUGUAAAUCGAAGUUUUAAUCAAAUUACUGUAAGUAAGAAAUUUACAUAGAAUUAAUACUUCAGACGUAUACGAUUCUGACCAUGCAUGAGGACUGGAGUUCAAUGGUAGAAAUUUGCACUGAGUUGCAUGUGGACAUUUCUGGUGUAUUUGAUUAUCA